ACGGAAGGCAGCAGUGGGGAAUAUUGCACAAUGGGCGAAAGCCUGAUGCAGCGACGCCGCGUGAGUGAAGAAGUAUCUCGGUAUGUAAAGCUCUAUCAGCAGGGAAGAAAAUGACGGUACCUGACUAAGAAGCCCCGGCUAACUACGUGCCAGCAGCCGCGGUAAUACGUAGGGGGCAAGCGUUAUCCGGAUUUACUGGGUGUAAAGGGAGCGUAGACGGUUUGGCAAGUCUGAAGUGAAAUGCGGGGGCUCAACUCCUGAACUGCUUUGGAAACUGUCGAACUAGAGUGCAGGAGAGGUAAGUGGAAUUCCUAGUGUAGCGGUGAAAUGCGUAGAUAUUAGGAGGAACACCAGUGGCGAAGGCGGCUUACUGGACUGUAACUGACGUUGAGGCUCGAAAGCGUGGGGAGCAAACAGAAUUAGAUACCCUGGUA
This 434-nucleotide ribosomal RNA is filed under the name uncultured Clostridium sp. Its description in RNAcentral is "partial 16S ribosomal RNA". It matches the Rfam family "Bacterial small subunit ribosomal RNA", at positions 341 to 792 of the family's 1533-position model. The record is from RNAcentral. Lineage: Bacteria; Bacillati; Bacillota; Clostridia; Eubacteriales; Clostridiaceae. RNAcentral also lists the same sequence under 1 other name.